AAACUAACUAGGAUUCCCUUAGUAACUGCGAGUGAAGAGGGAAAAGCUCAAAUUUGUAAUCUGGCAGGCCUUGACUGUCCGAGUUGUAAUCUAGAGAAGUGCUACCUGCACUGGACCAUGUACAAGUCUUCUGGAAUGGAGCAUCAUAGAGGGUGAGAAUCCCGUCUUUGACAUGGACUGCCAGAGCUCUAUAGGUGUGCUCUCAAAGAGUCGAGUUGUUUGGGAAUGCAGCUCAAAAUGGGUGGUAAAUGCCAUCUAAAGCUAAAUAUUGGCGAGAGACCGAUAGCGAACAAGUACCGUGAGGGAAAGAUGAAAAGAACUUUGGAAAGAGAGUUAAACAGUACGUGAAAUUGCUGAAAGGGAAACGCUUGAAGUCAGUCAUAUCAGUUGGAAAUCAACCUUGCUUUUGCUGGGUGUACUUUCUGUCUGAUAGGUCAGCAUCAAUUUUGAUUGCUGGAAAAAGUUCUUGGGAAUGUGGCAUCUUUUGGAUGUGUUAUAGCCCUUGGACAUAUACAGUGGUCGAGAUUGAGGAACUCAGCACGCCAUAAGGNUGGGCUUGUCCACAAAUACGUGCUUAGGAUGCUGGCAUAAUGGCUUUAAUCGACCCGUCUUGAAACACGGACCAAGGAGUCUAACAUGCCUGCAAGUGUUUUGAGUGGAAAACUCAUGCGCGUAAUGAAAGUGAUAGUUGAGAUCCCUUUUGGGGAGCAUCGAUGCCCAGACCAGACCUUUUGUGACGGAUCUGCGGUAGAGCAUGUAUGUUGGGACCCGAAAGAUGGUGAACUAUGCCUGAAUAGGGUGAAGCCAGAGGAAACUCUGGUGGAGGCUCGUAGCGAUUCUGACGUGCAAAUCGAUCGUCAAAUUUGGGUAUAGGGGCGAAAGACUAAUCGAAC
This 893-nucleotide ribosomal RNA is filed under the name Inosperma misakaense. RNAcentral describes it as "eukaryotic LSU rRNA". It matches the Rfam family "Eukaryotic large subunit ribosomal RNA", at positions 62 to 940 of the family's 3401-position model. The record is from RNAcentral. Lineage: Eukaryota; Fungi; Basidiomycota; Agaricomycetes; Agaricales; Inocybaceae.